This 296-nucleotide small nuclear RNA is filed under the name Castor canadensis (American beaver). Its description in RNAcentral is "7SK RNA (ENSCCNG00000023743.1)". It matches the Rfam family "7SK RNA". From Rfam's summary of the family: 7SK was discovered as an abundant small nuclear RNA in the mid-70s but a possible function has only recently been suggested. Two independent studies have found that 7SK RNA binds the CDK9/cyclin T complex (known as elongation factor P-TEFb). P-TEFb activates transcription by phosphorylating the C-terminal domain of RNA polymerase II. The record is from RNAcentral. Lineage: Eukaryota; Metazoa; Chordata; Mammalia; Rodentia; Castoridae.
GGAUGUGAGGGCAAUCUGGCUGUAACAUCUUGUCACCCCAUUGAUUGCCAGAGUUGAUUCAGCUUAUGUGGCUGGCUAGGUGGGUGUCCCCUUCCUCCCUUACUGCUCCACGUGUAUCCCUCCUGAAGCUGCGCUCUCAGUUGAAGAGGACCACCAUCUCAAAUAAAGGAGGACUGUUCUUUGGUUCAGGGUAUAUGAGGAGCUGCGCUCCCCUCCUAGAUCUUCCAAACAAGCUCAAAAAAGAAACUGGCUGGGGAUGUAUCUCAGUGAGUAGAGCACUUGGCUAGCAUGCAUGA